CGCAUGAUGUUCAUGUAAAAGACGGCUUUUGCUGUCACUUUUGGAUGGGCUGCGGCGUAUUAACUUGUUGGUGGGGUAACGGCCUACCAAGGUGAUGAUACGUAGCCGAACUGAGAGGUUGAUCGGCCACAUUGGGACUGAGACACGGCCCAAACUCCUACGGGAGGCAGCAGUAGGGAAUCUUCCACAAUGGACGAAAGUCUGAUGGAGCAACGCCGCGUGAAUGAAGAAGGCCUUCGGGUCGUAAAAUUCUGUUGUCAGAGAAGAACGUGCGUGAGAGUAACUGUUCACGUAUUGACGGUAUCUGACCAGAAAGCCACGGCUAACUACGUGCCAGCAGCCGCGGUAAUACGUAGGUGGCGAGCGUUGUCCGGAUUUAUUGGGCGUAAAGGGAACGCAGGCGGUCUUUUAAGUCUGAUGUGAAAGCCUUCGGCUUAACCGAAGUAGUGCAUUGGAAACUGGAAGACUUGAGUGCAGAAGAGGAGAGUGGAACUCCAUGUGUAGCGGUGAAAUGCGUAGAUAUAUGGAAGAACACCAGUGGCGAAAGCGGCUCUCUGGUCUGUAACUGACGCUGAGGUUCGAAAGCGUGGGUAGCAAACAGGAUUAGAUACCCUGGUAGUCCACGCCGUAAACGAUGAGUGCUAAGUGUUGGAGGGUUUCCGCCCUUCAGUGCUGCAGCUAAC
RNAcentral lists this ribosomal RNA (683 nucleotides) under uncultured bacterium. Its description in RNAcentral is "bacterial SSU rRNA". It matches the Rfam family "Bacterial small subunit ribosomal RNA", at positions 187 to 856 of the family's 1533-position model. The record is from RNAcentral.